AGCAGCCGCGGUAAUUCCAGCUCCAAUAGCGUAUAUUAAAGUUGUUGCAGUUAAAAAGCUCGUAGUUGAAUUUCGGGGUUAGUAGGUUGGUCAUGCCUCUGGUAUGUACUGGUCUCACUGAUUCCUCCUUCCUGAUGAACCUUAAUACCAUUAAUUUGGUGUUUUGGGGAAUUUGGACUGUUACUUUGAAAAAAUUAGAGUGUUUAAAGCAAGCUAACGCUUGAAUACAUUAGCAUGGAAUAAUGAAAUAGGACGUUCGAUCCUAUUUUGUUGGUUUCUAGGAUUGACGUAAUGAUUAAUAGGGAUAGUUGGGGGCAUUAGUAUUCAAUUGUCAGAGGUGAAAUUCUUGGAUUUAUUGAAGACUAACUACUGCGAAAGCAUUUGCCAAGGAUGUUUUCAUUAAUCAAGAACGAAAGUUAGGGGAUCGAAGACGAUCAGAUACCGUCGUAGUCUUAACCAUAAACUAUGCCGACUAGGGAUCGGAUGAUGUUAAUUUUUUAAUGACUCAUUCGGCGCCUUA
This 520-nucleotide unclassified non-coding RNA is filed under the name uncultured Glomus. Its description in RNAcentral is "SSU rRNA". It matches the Rfam family "Eukaryotic small subunit ribosomal RNA", at positions 569 to 1090 of the family's 1831-position model. The record is from RNAcentral. Lineage: Eukaryota; Fungi; Glomeromycota; Glomeromycetes; Glomerales; Glomeraceae.